Non-coding RNA from Phasianus colchicus (ring-necked pheasant), 13316 nucleotides. The record is from RefSeq and is a predicted model, not a curated record. Lineage: Eukaryota; Metazoa; Chordata; Aves; Galliformes; Phasianidae.
CGCCGGGGCAGGUGUUGCCGCCGGGUGGCCGCCCCCCGCGGCGAGGCGGGCCGCGCUGCGCAGUGCCGUGCUGGCUCCCCGCCCGCUCUCCCCCUCCUCCUCGCCCCCGGGCGGCCAUGUUGUCCCCCGGCGCGGUAAAGGCGUGACGAAGCAGAAAGGUUGCGUCUGUGCCCUUCCUUUGACGCAGAUGAGGAGUGCUGCAUGCAGCAGGGCCGCGUGUCAGCAGGAGAAGCUGCCGAGCCCUCCCCGCCCAUCACACCCUGCCAGGGCCUGUCUGUAAGAUUGAUGCUUUGGAGGAUCUCUGAGCAUUUCUGAAGAACUGAAGAAUUAUUCCUCACAGCAGCCCACAAGAUGGUGUUUGGUUCAGAAGGUGCUGUGAGGCCUCCAGAUGCUCUGAAAGGCCCCUCUGGUUCAUGCUGAAGCUGGAGGAAGGCAGGCUUUAACGGAGAGGAGAUCCAGGGAGGGGGCACCUGGAGCAAUGGCAGGGCUCUGAGGCACUAUUCACUGGUCUUACCCUGCUUACUUCUGCUGUGCUGAUGAAGCAAAAAUAAACUUCCUGUACUUAGACAGAUUUUAAACAUUUUUUCUACAAGACAGAAACCAGAUGGAAUAUUUUCACAGCUGACACCAAAAUUCGCAGUUUUCGUGACUUCAGUGAUAUUAUGAUUUAUACAGGGAUUGUGUGUGUCGGCAGCCUCGAGCAGACAGCCUCUUGCCAUCCAAGCUUUUAAAUGUUAUUUGGAUUGAUAGGUCAAAAGAUUCUACGAGCUGAGCGCAAUGUGAAGUAUCACUGGAUUUAAAUGGUAACUGUGGGCUUUUCUGGUUCUGUAUCUUGACUCUAAGGUGUAACAAUAAAAUAUGUUAAAAGGGCCUCACUCCAGGAGGGAUAGCAAGCCCUUGAAAUUAAUCAUUUAUAGAAGUAAACAAAGAAUUGUCAUGUCGAGUCACGAGCACAAAGCAGGCUAUUGACUUGAAGCCUUCAUUGGCUCUCGUAAAGCAAGAGGUGAGUGGCAGCAGGCAUAGUGCUGGGACUGCCAGUCUCACAGGCAGUGUUUUCAGAUGGCCCUGAAGACAAAGAGGAGUUGAAGGGAGUGAGCAGUCAAGUAGAAGCUGCAGGCAGCCCAGGUAGAGGGCAGGGUGGGGAGCAGGUCCACAGAGCUGGGCACAGGCAGGGGGUUCUCUCUGCUUCCUGUUUCUUUGCCCUCUAUUUGUGCCUGAAUCAGCUGCUGUUCACUGCAUGUGAGCUUCUUCCCACCUUUGUGGGAAUUCCUGGUUUCCUGGGAAACUUGUGCUGGCCUGUGCCUGAAGAAAACUUCAGAGACGCACUGAUUAUUUUUUUAUAUUUAAUGGCGUUUUUUCAAUGCCUAAGAGUGGCAGCUCGUUAACCUUGGUGGCUGCCUUUCUGUUUUCAGAGAUGUCUCCAGAUUGUAUGUUUUCUCCUUAGAGUUUUAGGUGACGCGUUUCUGGCUAUGUGAGACUUACAGAUCAGUACUGCACCUUGGUUGGUGCUCAUCACACCAGUGGUGUUGGAGUUAAUCCUUGUGUGCUCUGUGUAUUUGUAGGAUCCCGUUCUGUGAAGUCCACACCUGAUAGUGCACCAGAGCUGGUUUGCACAGGGCUCCAGAGCUUGCCUCGUCUUUAAUCAGGUGUUUGCUUCGGAAGGGAUGUGUUGUUGCUAGGGGAUGUAAGUUCUCUCAGGCUCGGAGAUAGAUGGAGGUAUAUAUAAUUUCAGGUGCUUAUAAUAUGUGCACCUAAUCUUUAUAGAAGGAUUUAUUGUGUAAAUCAAUGACAAAAUAAAUGGCAGCGGCUCCUACGCAGCUAGGGCAAGGAAAGGCUGCAUCUAAUGUGCUUUUCCUGCUCAGCCACUUACUUAGUAAGGCUACUGGCACACCAAAGUAUCCUACAGUCUUUUGCCAUGCAUGCUUCAGACUCAAAUCCAGCGCAAUGGUCAAAGAAAUGGAGCAUAAAGCCACCCUGAUCAUUCAUGGUAACAUAGUAGCUGAUGAUGUUUGGACCUGAGACUAUUUUUUUCCCCAUAGAAAUAUGGUAGGAAUACAGCAGAGACAGGGUGAGAAGAUGGUUAAUAACCUGUAGCAAACCCUACUAAGUUGUGGGCUAAAUAAAUGUCGAUUCCAGUGAUAUCUGCUGAAAAUCAGCAUACGACAAAACAUUUGGUGAUAACAUACGGAAGGAGGUGUGGGAGACAGUUAGAGGAAGCCUUUCACUUUUCUGUACAUGUUUAUAAUCUGGUGUCCUCAACAUAAUAGAGACUACAUAUUGAAACUGUCUGUAUGGAGCCUGGCUUCCAAAAAAUAAAAAGCGCUCCUGUGAGUAGAAACACUGCCAUUUUUUAUGUGUUAUUUCCUUGUUUGGACUUCCCACCCCCGAGCCAGCUUCAGUGAACACAGACACUGCAUUAUAGGGGCCAUGCUAGUGAACAGUUGUUUAGAAGGCUGUACCACAAAUCUGUAAUGUAAGUAAUGUUCUCCUAUACACUGUCGCUUAAAUCCAGGAAACCACAUUUUAAAUAUGAUGCUGAUCUCUAUCUAGGGGAGUUUAAACAAAAGCAGCCACUCUUGCAAGAUACUUCCUUUGGCUAAGCUGGAAAUCCUAGGCAUGUAGGAGCUAAUCUAGCAAAUUGCUUAAAUGUAUGCUUAAACCCGUGUGUAUUUGCUUUGAAGUCAACGGGAUUACUUGUAUGUUUAUAUGCUUCAGUGGUUUGAGGCCUUGAAACAUAGGAGGACAUUUGGCAUCUAGACAAGCAGGGCUAGGAGGAGCAUGAAGAAAUUAUCUCCCUUCUCUGGGAUUGGUUAUACUUAUGGCAUUCCUGGCAGAUUUUUUUUUUCCUCGGCUGUUGUUAAAAACAUCUGGUGAUAGAGACUCCACAGCUUUCCCAGGCUCUAUUCCUGUGCUUCACUAUUGUUACUAUUACAAAUGUUUUUCCCUCAAGUCUGACUUGCUGGAAGUUAAACCCGUUGAUGUUUGGGCUUUCUAGCUUACAGGAACGUUGGGCAUGACAAUCUUCUACACACUUAAGAGUUUUAAUGUUACCUUCUCAAGAACGCUUGUGUAAAGACCCCAGCAUUUCCAAAUCUUUUUUGUAGUCCUCUGGUUCUCUUCCAGGGCUCUCCAAUGAGUCCGUCUCUACCUUGCACUCUUCCCCUUUCUUUCUCCCAUUGAAUUUCAGCCGUUUGUUGGCUCUGCUGUGAUUUGUCAACAUUUUUGCAAACUGGGAGCCUCCUUACUUGCAGCUGCCCUGAGCACCCCGUUUUUGUAGUCCGUAAGCACAGUAAGUAUGCUGUUUCAGGUCUAGAUGAUUGACGAAAAUACCAAACAGAAUCAUAUCCACAGCAAUUUUGUAUCUUCCCCCAGAUGGCUUGCUUUGGCUGUGGGCAAACGGUAACUUUCUCUGCAUGUUCAGCCACUUUGUAUCUGUCUUGUAACUUUUUCAUUCUGGCUGUGUUUCCUUGCUGUGCAUAUGAGAGAGACAGCCCCAAAAGCUUGACUAAAUCAGGAAAUGUGACAUCUCUUGCUUUGCUUCUGUCUACGAGGCCCGCUGCCCUAUGGCAGAAGGAAAUUAAAUUGAUUUGACAGGAUUUAUUCUCUACAAAUCCAUACUAGCAGCUAUUCAUUUCAGUGUUAUCUUCUAGGCGCUUACAAAUAGUUUGAUUACUCGUUCUGGUGUUUUUCUGAGGAUUGAAAACAAAUUGACUGGCUGCUAAGUCUUCAGCUCUGCUUUCCCCCACUUGCCAAGCAAGGUCUUGUUUGCUCCCCUCCAGCCCUUGGGCACCUCAUCUCCACCACCAGCACUCACAGAAGUGACUGUCCAGUGAUUUAGAAAUCACAUGAGUUUUAAGAAUCCGGGGUUGAAAUUCAUUGUGCCCAGUCAAUUCGAAGACCUUUAAUUUAUUUAAGGGCAUUUUGAUCUGCUCUUUUUAGGCCAUUAUCUUCGUGCUGGUACAUAUUCUGUUCCUUGUCUGCACUGGCGUCUGUGUCCUUUAGAAGUUUCUCAGAGGCACUCCCAACUCUCCUUAAUUAUUUAUUUUUGCCUUCUGUGAGGUCUGAGUUCGGGCCAACUGCCUGGGUUUAAUCCUGCUGUCAGCUAUGGUUGUGUUGUGUCUGAAUUGAGGCGUAACUGGAGGCUAGGGAAACAGCCUUAAUUUCUGCUUCUUACUCUGGCAGCACUCUUGCUAAUGUAUGAGUGCCCUGCUUAAAACUGAGAGCUGCAAUAAUGUGGUGUGUUGGGAUUUGGGAUGUCUGCUGACCAAGGCUGGGUUGGAGUUGAUAUAUUGAUUUUUAUUUUUAUUUUUUGUCAACUAACUAGAACAAAUGACUCAACAGUCAGUGGGAGAGGAUUAAGAAUACUCUCCUCUUUGUUAAGGGUAAGAAUUAAUUUUAACAAAUUGUCUAGAGAAUGUAUUUCACAUUGCCAUUUACCCCCUCAAGUUGUUUCUGGGUGCCCUCUCUCUUUUGCUCUGUUGUUGUUGUUGUUCAGGAACUGGAGUGAUAACUUUGUCCCUUCCUGUUUUCCUAGAAAAGUCAAGUAGAGAGCUUCAUUACAAACUUCACUACAUUAUAAUUCUGCUAUCUAUUCUCAUAAUAUCAGUAUCUCCAUAGUCAAAUGAGGAAUGUUUCAUUGAAAUUACUACUGAUCUAGUAGCAAUUGACUGUAUGUAAAUCAAAAGUUUCUUUAAGUUUAAUAGAUUUGAGGGCUUUUAGUUUCUCUUGUACAGAAGAGUAUUCUCACUCCUGUUAUAUUUUUUCAUAAUCUUUUUCUUUCUGAAAGGGCAAACUGCGAAAGUGCAGUAGCCAAAGUUGUCUCACUGUUUUGAGACAUGCAGUGAGAUACUGGGCUAAAAGAAAUGGCAGUAUUCUACAUAAUUUCACAGGAUCUGCUAGGGAAAUAGCCUGAUUUUAUGGGAGCUCUUAUGGAAAAAUUCUGAUUUUAUGUGGAUUCAGGUGAAAAGAUACAUUUUUUGGAUUUCUAAAAUUGGGUGGAUUUCUUGAGUUCCAUGAAAUCUGUGACAGCCAUGGAAAAAAUGCACAGUUCUUGCCAUGGAGUAAAUUUUUAUUGUGGUCUGCAGAACUUUCUUUUCUUUGUACAUUUGUGUCUCUGACACGUGCAUUCUGGACCUCCUCCUCAUCUUGUAUUCUCUUCCUGUGAAUAUUUUAUGCUUCUUGAUGGAUGCAUAGCACUCUGAUCCUCAGAUGAUAGAAAUCCAUGGCUGCCUACAAAGGAGGUUCAGCGUGCAAAUGAGUGUGAUGGGGAAAGGAUGUGAAAAAUAAGAAAUACCAAACACAGGUCUGCAGGUUUUGUGCUUUUAUGCUAAUACCAGCUUAUUUAUGCAUUAUAGGAGGGAAAAUAAUUGGGAAUAAGGAAUGGUAAUGAUUUGUUGUAUUCAGUGUGAGACCUAAGCAGUGCAGCAUCAACAGCAACCUUCUUGCAAUUUGUAAAAUCUUGGCUUUUGCAAAAGGUCCAGAACAAGACCACCUGAGGAGCAUAUAAAGCUUCAGAACAGAGUGAUGGUAUUGCAGCAUCUCAAUUUAUCCUGUAAGCAAUGCCCUCUAUGGCUAGGACGCAAGUGUGACUGUAGCAUGCUUGCCUUGUUCCCUGUCUCAACAGAGGAAGCAGAGCUGAAAUAGAUCUUGCUUUUCAAGGAGAGAAAUUAAGACACAGAGGAGAAAAUCCUCAGACAAGGCUUGAAAAUCAAUGGUGAGAUGAGGUGAAAACUUGUAGGAAGGCUGUGUCAGAAGGGCAUGGGAAAUGACAAAGAAAAAGCGAUGUUAGAUAAGUAGAGGAAUCAGAAAGGGAAGAAUUGUGAAAGAGAUUAAGCCAAAUCUAUGCAGGGUUUUAAAUGAAGAAGCCUGAACAGUAUCUUGAGAUGAUCAGGGAGCCAUCUGAUUAGCUUUGAUUUAAUGAUAUUCUUGAACUGCCUGAGCAGCCAGAACUGAGAAUGUUCCCAGUGGCAGAGCUGAAGUGUCUCGGAGGGAAUCUCCUGCCCCUAGCUGGGAGGAUGUGAGGAAACCUCACGUGGAGCAGAGGCAGAGGGUGUGCAGGUCAUUUCCUUGUACUGGCAAAAGAAGAGGAGAUGAAUAUCAGGGUUCUGAUGGUGUCCUGUGCUGCUGUUGCUUCAGUAAGAAAUAUGAAGCAGAGAGCUGGAACUGAGGCUGGGUGUUGGUGCAGUCAGAGCUGUCUAUAUUUAGCCAAGCCACAAGGAGUUUCUGCAGGGCAAGUGGGACAAAUGGAAAGGGAUGUCUGGUAUAUGAGGGAGCUGUUUGUAUUAGCUGCAGCAGGCACAAGUAUUUGUGCUCCACGUGAUGCUGUGCUUUAUUGCCUGCUACUCAUUCUCUUUACUGAACCGAAUAGGUUCCCAGGAUCUCUAUUCCCUUUUGUAAAUGCUAAAUAGAAUUUUGCCAUGUAUAAUGUUUUCCAGAGAAAACAUCACCUUUUGCUGUAUUAGCUAUAUUAUUCUAAAGGAGUUUAGGUCCUACUGGGACCGAGAACUGCUUUUCCUCUUUCCCCAUCAAACAACCUACAAUCCAGCUCUCCUUUGCAUAAUCCUAUUUCAAAUACGAACAAUAUGAAUCCUCCAGUUUAUGCUAGCGAGGAAAUUUGGGUGGUUAUUUCAUCAUUGCCUGGAGAAGCAGGACAGGGAAGCUGCCAAGCUGUCUCUGUACAGCUUUGCUCUGCUGAAAUCUAGUGUAGAAAGUGUAGUCAUCUUGAUAACAUAUUCAGCUCUUUUUCACCUUUUGCUAGCUCGUGCUAUCGGUGAGUUGUGGCUGUGCAUUUUUCUCUCACAGUAGAUAACAGUCUGCCCACCUCCUCCCCAAAGGGUACAGGUCAGACAAGGUCCUGUUGUCUCUUUCUCUGGCUGCAGCUUCCUGAUGUAUCUGUCUCUACACUGGUGACCCUCAGAUCACGGUAUCGAUUCUUGCAUCACCUUUAGGAUUGCUAAUAAAAAAUGGCUAGUUAAAAUGUUCCUGUAGCAGCAUGUAGUAACCAGCUGGAGGCUUACCUGUUGGCUGUGGUGAAGUUUUCAGCGCAGAAGAGGGGUGCCCAACUUGAGGACGGCAAAACCUGGAAGCAGGUGGUUGUCCGACCAGGUGAGCCUGCAGGUCAGGAGGAGGCAGGAGGCUGGGGAGGCUGCUCUUCCCUGGCCACUGCUCUGGUGCCCUCUCCUUGCCAUGGAGCUGCCCGGUGCUCCAUGGAGCUGUGUGCCUGUAGGGCCACAGCCAGUCCUGCUCCUCCUGCCCCACUGGGCAGGGUGGGGGGCUGUGUCUCUGGGCACUGUGCAUGUUGUGCAGUCCUUGUGGUGCAGGAACCAAAGCUAGCUGUGAUGUUGGGUGGGGUGAGGAGAGGAUGUGCUGCUAGUUCCUCAAGUGUGUGUAGACCAGUUCCAUUCUAAUGUAAAGGCUUUGAAACUUCCCAAUUAUUCAUUUUCCUUAUGUGCAAAGUAUGCUUGCCUUGUGUGCUUUGUCAAGUUAGGAAAGAAGAAAAUGUCUACUUUGUAGUGCAUUUUCUCCAACUGUUCCAUUUUCUGCUGAAGCAAUUUGUGCCAAUAUCUAACUGCUCCGCAGACAAAAUCUGCAUGGCUAAUACGUGCAAACAUAUUCAUGCUGAAGAGUCCUGCGUGCUAAAAGCGUCCUGCUUGCACCACAUUCUGCAACCAUGGCCAUAUAUCUGUGGAUUAGCAUAUUUGAUUAAACAUAUAUACAGAACUGGAGAUCAUAGUAGAAGGGUAUGUACUAUAUGAGCCUUUAAUCUCAGAUGUGCCCCGUGGGUAAGGUAGAUGGAUUAGUAUUGUCACGUGUAAUCAUCUAAUCUUACCUCUCAGCCCAUUGACAGAGCGUCAGGGUUGGAAUCCCCCGAGAUCCAUGGAGAGCUGAGAAGCUCUGGAACACCUGAUUUUGCAUAAGCAAAGACACAGAUUGCCUGCCUUGGUUGUUGUCUCCAGCAAGGAAGAUUGAGGUGGCAACCCAGAUGUUUCCCUGUGGGUGACUCCAUUUGAAACAGUUAAAGGCAGUGGGCCUUGGAAUGCCUGAUGCCCUGCUGCCUGCAUGUAUCUGACAUCAUAGUUUCUCUCACUAUAGUAAGCUGGCUAAAUUAAUUUGAUUUUAAAGAAGUGAAGCACUGAGACUGUGCCUGACAUUUUCAGGAUUCCAGGACACCAUGUUCCCAGAUCAAUAUGCUGAUUUAGUAACAUAACUUAUGCUCAGGAAGGCCAUGUGACAUUCCUAGACCCAUCCAUCUUAGUCUAGCUUUUCUGUUAGAGCUGUGCAAAUCCUUUCCAGGAGAGCAAGUGUGAUUUUAGAAGCUUCCCAUUAGAAUGAAAUAGUGCAAAAUUACAAACAACUCCCACUAAUACCAGAUUUGAAGAUACUUCUUUCCUCUCAUCUGUAUGAGUCUCAGGUAGGUCCUUAUACAAGACCAACACUAUUUUGCUAACAAUCAGACAGGCACAUGCGUAAGUAAAUGCACAGAUGUAACACCAAGAGCCUACUGCCCAGAACAUGAAUGCUUGCAUACGGAGAUAAAGAGGGUCCACCUUUAAGCAGACACUUCUUCAGAUAAAGAAAUGCACUUGGAAAGGUGAAAGGGCACUGAAAGCACCAAGAGUUUUUGUAUUCAAAAGCCAAGGAGAUAUUUAAGUUCUUUUCAGGCUUAAAUAGAAUCAGAGAAGUGCUACAAAAGUAGCUUGGGUUUACAUGUAUGAAAACCAGCCAUAUAUCUCUUGAUCAUGUUGCUCAUUUAAAAGUUAUCAAAACUGUUUUGUUAUGGGCCAUUUGUGUUUGUGAUGCUCACAAAAACAGCACAUUGAAGUCAAUGGCUGUUGUGUCACUCACAAAGUGAUUUUAGAAUGCAGAUUAUAUGAGCAAACUUUCUGUUCUAUCAUUUACUGGUAAAAGAAGAAAGAAAAAAACAAAUGCUACCCUCAUUUUCUGGGCUAAACUGCUCAAGUUUUCGUUUUUUUAAACAAGACCAUGCCUAGUGGUUAUACCUUCUUAUGCUUACUCAGUACUGGCAGCCGUGCCUCCUAACAAUGCUAGGAAUAUCUGAAGAUAUUUCUUUCAAGGUAGAUAGAAAUUCCAGUUUAAAUAAUGAGACUGCUAGCUUAACUUCCUCUUCCAAACAGAGCAGAAAUUAACAUAAUAAUUAAAUUGAUUGUAGCGAUGAAGCAUCAUGACUUCUAGACCCACGCUGUUUGUUUCUAUGUUAUCUUAGCUUUGAUUCAGUAUAUCUCGGUAGCACAGUGUUUAGCUUAUAAGGAUAUUUGCCUGACUACAACUUUAAGAACAGGUUUAAGAAUACACUGAAAGGAAUCUGCUCCUUGCUAAAGGCCAUUCUUUUUAAAGUGUCUUUCCUACUCUGUGUAGCCAAAGUACUAUUGAAGAUGUUUGUAGUGGAAAUGCUGAGUCACAGCCUGAACCAGUGAUUGAGCACCUGGAGGGAAGGUGGAGCCAACCCAGGGGAGCUCAGGUGCAUGCAAUGAACCUGAGUAACCAGCAGGGUUGGAGCCAGGAUUCACUGCUUCCCAGACUUCAUUUAAGGGUUGGCAGUGCAGGUGAAGGUAUUUCUCUGGAGCUCCCUGUAUACCUGAAGUCUUCUAAAGGUAGGAAUAUAUGUAUUUUUUUUUAUUUCUGCGCCUGCUGCUGUUGUGUUUGAGCAAGUUGUUAUUGCUGCAGCUACAGCAAUGCAGCUCUGCUGUCAUUGUUGUGCUUUCUGUCGUGUUACUGGGGUUUGGAAGAUGGUUUAGUUUGUGGUUUUGUGUAUCAGUCUGCCAGGCAGCACUUUAACCAUGUGCUUUCAAGGUUAGAGCCUUGGUUUCAGCCUUGUGCUUACUAAGUGGUAUGGAAAUGUUAUGCACGGUACGUGGAAAUGCUGUAAUCUGUUGCUUUCUAAAAGCCACCCGAAGUACUGUACCAUAAUCAAAUAGUACUUCUUAAUGACACUGUAUGCCCCAGCUGUGUCCUGAGACAUACUGACACAAAAAAGUCAUCCAGGGAUGCAAAGCCAAUUGGGAAACCUUGCUAAAUGGAGGACUCAUGUGCUUUUUCUGUGCUUAACUGAUGGCUUUAUUUAACAAAACACUUGCUAACAGUGAGGCUGUGAAUGCACAUUUGGUCUGGACCUUGUUGUUCACAACUAGGUCAUUGCUGUGGCUGUGUUCUGGACUGCAGUCAGUCUGUGGUUAGCUCGUUUCCGUGAAGGGAGCAAAUAGGCCUGUUCCACCUACUUCUUUAGGUAUGGUGGAGGACAUCAUUUUUCACCAUACUUAUACCAUUAAAAUAUCCCUGUUCUCUUCUGUUGUCUCUUAAAAGUCUCCCAGAGGACACUUCUCCUGCAGGCUUCCACUUUCUGGGAGGUUCCAGAUAAUGGCUUCUCUCCCAUUAGUCCUGAAAUUACCACCUGAGCAGGCUUCUAGUGCCUGCACCACUCCCCUUUGUUAAUGUACUUCUAGCUCCUGGCUGUGCUACCUUCCUGGCACCCCACUGGAUAUCCAGCAGUAAAUAUUAGCAUAAGGACUUAGGCACCUUUCUGCUCUGGCUUGUCCUUCUCCUGCCAGUUUCAGGAGCUGCUCUUCCAUGCUUUAGGGUAACUUGUCCAUUGUUGCUCAGCUAUUGAAAGCAGUUAGUCUCAAUUUCUUUCUCUUUUCUUUUGAUUUGCAAGAGGUAGGAAAACUUUAGUGUCUCUUUUUGCUUUCAUUCUGAGACUAACGAGGUGUUUGGUAGGCACCUGUGUGCAAGAGGCAGAUGGUAUGGUCUCUUGCAUGGGUAUUGCCUCAGUAGCUGUUACUGCUGCUUAUGAAUAAAUGGAGUUUGUGGUAACUUUGUGAGCUGUGCUUCCCCUUGUUCUCAGUGUAUUAUUGCUUUGGACUUAUAAGUGUAUCUUGUAGCUUUGGAAACAAUGGAUCAGCUUCAACUCUGGCAGUAUGUCCAGUAACUAUAUAUAACAUAAUUGUUACACCUUAAUUUGCAUAUAUCUUAUGUUUUGCUUCAUCUGAUGUGUUUUAUAAUGCUUUUCUGCACUGUUCACUUCAGAUGAUUUAUUUUGUAAGACAAUUUAACCAAUACUGUGAUUCUUGGAGUGUUGUGUUCUAUAACAUAAAUAGAAGGUAGCGUAUUCAUGCCUUCUGAAGUCGGUGAAAGUCUGUCUGUUGACUUUCAUGGGGCUCUGGAUUAGAUCUUUAAUGAACAUCUCCUGAUAUCAUUAUAGGAGCAAAUAUUGGAACAGCAUCAUGAAAACUUCAGAUUUAGUCGAUACGGAGGAUUUAUUACAUUUUUUUAUAGAACAUAAAGUAGUUUGGAAAUUGCUUCUUGAAUGACUUCACCUGCUGCUCUGUUCAUGCUUGUCCCACAGUGACCUGAGCCACCCAGACGAAUAUUUUUGUCAGACGGGAGCUGAGACCAAGAUUAGGAGAAAGGAAGGGACCACACAGUGUAAAAUCCAGCUGCAGGCUUUGAGGCAAGCAGAAAACAAAUUGCAGACUCAAAAUUCAAAGUCUGAGUGCACCCUAAGAGGUGUGGGAUUCCUGUCAGCCUCAAAUGUUUUUCCCCUUAGUGUGGGGUGUUGAGUUGCAGAGAACCUGAGAGUUUGGAAAUGUAAACACGCAAUUCAUAAUGCAGAAGCCGUGGAAUUAAUGAAUUUCACACUGCCCCCACCUUAGACUAAUUAGUACAAAUUAAAUGCUGCACUUGCCAGGCAGAGCAGUUUGUGCAUCAUGUAUUGUGUUACGAAUUAUUUUAGAUCGAUUUUCACAAUGCAAAAAUAGUGUGAAAAUAUCUUUUUCAAUUAGUGGUAGUUUUACAGCCAUUAAAAGAUUUCUUUAAUAGGCUUAGACUCCCAUGGCCUGCACAGCUGCAUGAGGUCUGGUUUGCAUUUAAAGGUGGGAGAAAAUAUAGUGGGAAGAGAGACAUUUAGCUGACUGGAUUUGCUUAAUUAACCCCCACCCCAUGCGAAAAUGCCAAAGCAGGCCGAUGAAUUAUCUGUCCCUUCAUCACAGGCCAAUCGCUUAAUUGCAAAUUAUCCCUAAUAAUUACGCAGUCAAAUAACUGCUGGAUUUAUAUUUAAUGAAUUAGGGAGCCCUUAACAAGGAUUUAAAUGGACCCACCAGGAUUACUCAAAAUUGACAACUAUCAAAGGGCUGGAAGCUGCUGCUUGUGCUUAUGUGGAGGUAGAACCUGGCUCUGUUUCCUGUUGGGUGAUGUUUUUCCAUUUCUAUUGUCUCAGUGGGACAAACUGAAAAUGGGAGAUGACUGAAAAUGAGAAAGGGAAUCAGAACCAGGGAGGUUAGAAAGGCAGGGCAGAAUAUAGGACCAAGUAAGGAAACCCCAGCCUGUACUAAGUGAGAUGGAGCCCUGCCAGACAGUGCAGGAAGGGUGCACUUGCCUUUGGUGGCAUUCCUGGUGGGGACAACAGAGUCUGCCCACUGCAGAGGUGUGUGUGGAUGCGAUUACUGCUGAUGCAAACAUGGGGCAAGGGUUUUGGCACUUGUUUUUCAGUUUUGACAGCAAAGGAAAACAGAAAGGAGUCGUCUUACCUCCCUCCCUUAUUUAUUUCCCUUCCUCCGCUCUCUCCUCAUAAAUAGCUUUCUCUCUUCAAAUUCCUGUAAAUUACUCGGUGUGUGGGAUGUGUUCCAUGGCGAUGGCCACUUGUCUUGUUUCCAGGCUGACAUGUACCUUGCUGGAAUACAAAACCAAUUGAGAAUAGGAAUUUAAACUUAAAGCUGCGUUUGCUUGUAGUCGGAAGGGUAAGAUUCAGUAAUUGAAUAAGCAAUAGAAAACUUGAAGAGUGAAGGAGGGAAUAAGCUGAAUGUAAAGGAGCGUGCCUGGGAGAGUUAGAUGAUGCGUGCUUUCCCUAACAUGGUCCAAUCAGAUUAAGGUGACUGAACUGUUUUUGAAAUGGAAACUAAUAUCUGUCUAUUCCUUAUCUUUCUUGUAUUGAUGUCCUGAGGUCCAGUUGGGAAAUCGGGAUCCCUCUGUGCCUACAACAGUAAAAACACUAGUUCUGUCUCUCCCCACCACCACUGUGCAGCCUCUCAGCAAAAGUGCUCUCUGAGCUCUGAUUUCCUUUUUCAUUUCUAUGUUGCUUGCUCUUUGUAGGUCAUGUGUAAGCAAUUUUUUUCUGCUGCUUUUUUCUAGGAGGGUAAGUAAUUAACUUGGAGGAGAGCGGGAAGCUCUGGUUUCAGGUUGCUUUGAAAGGCCUUUUAUUGAGAUUUCUGGAGUGUGCCUGUUCCUCGAAGAUUUCUCACUGUGGAUUCAUGUAUAAGAAGGUGAUAUUCUGGACUUCAAAGUCUCAACUCAUAUCUUUCUUGAUU